UACAGAGGAGCCAAGCGUUGUCCGGAUUGACUGGGCGUAAAGCGCACGCAGGCGGUUGCGCGCGUGGGGUGUGAAAUCUGGCCGCUUAACGGCCAGGCGCCAUCCCAUACGGCGCGACUGGAGUGAUGCAGAGGUCGAUGGAAUUGCCGGUGUAGUGGUGAAAUGCGUAGAGAUCGGCAGGAACACCCAGGGGGGAAACCAGUCGACUGGGCAUCUACUGACGCUGAGGUGCGAGAGCGUGGGGAGCGAACCGG
RNAcentral lists this ribosomal RNA (254 nucleotides) under uncultured bacterium. Its description in RNAcentral is "partial 16S ribosomal RNA". It matches the Rfam family "Bacterial small subunit ribosomal RNA", at positions 524 to 776 of the family's 1533-position model. The record is from RNAcentral.